GUGAGUUCUACCGAUCUACCGUGAAAGUUGACCAUGAAGAUUCAUGUAAACUUGAUUAGCGACCGAUUAAUGUGUUUCUUGAAUCGCGAGUGAAGUGCCAAAUUCCAAGGAAUUAAAGGAAUUAAUCAUUUCUCCAGAAAUUAACUCUUCCCAGGAUACAAAUUUUGAAUUUCCCGCCUUUCCAGAAGAAAUGGAGAGGAAAUUAAAGCUAGCCUUAUUUCUGAUGAUCACAUACUGCACGAGUGUGAAAUCCUCGGAUGAAAAGUCGAAGGAAGAAUCAUUAGAAACGGCUGCAGCAGCUCAAUUGGACAGACUCGCUCCAUUCCGGAAGGAAAAUCAGCUUCCAGAAAAUUUUCCAGAUAAUUUCAAGGAUCUCUUUCGUUAUUAUGCGAACAAAACGAAUCGAGAAGCAUCAAGGACGAGAGAAAAAUUUGAGGAGCUCAGGUUUCCUCUUCAACUCCUCAAGUUGCUUGGUAACACUCAGAUCAAGGGAUCUGAAUUGGAAGUCAAGAGAAGAGGAGACGCUCUGGAAGCAAAUUCCAAUCACUUUCAGGACUCAAGUUACGACGCGCUCAUGCAAGAGAGGAUCAGGCGUUCCGGAUCCAACUCCGGAAGUUUUGUUUCCGGAAUCGCUACCAACAUUAUUGGUGGCGUCGUAAGAGCUUCAUCUGGAGCCUCCAGAGGAAGCUCAUCCAGCUCAUCCGGCUUAUCUACUUCAUCUGAUUCACAUCCGAAUUCUUAUGGACCGCCUGUUUAUUCUUACGGUCAACAAUCUUUCGACAUCUGGGACUUCAAAAAGGCCAUCCUGAAUACGGUAUUCCAAGCACUCAAAGCCAUCAGUGGUGGUGUUCUUGCUCUGAAAGGACAGUUAAUCAAAGGUGGAGGAUUCCUCGUCUCAACGAAAGGAAAAAUUAUCAGUAGCACUGGAGAAGCUAUUUCCAGUUUAGGUCGAAACAUAGCCAGCAGUACUUAUGUAGUUGCACCAAAACCAGCUUAUUCUCAUAGUGGAUAUGCAUACAAUCCACCCCCAACCAGUCAUGACGAAUCUUACGAUGGGCCACCCCCUAGUGCAAACGAUUAUACGUCCAAUGGAUUUGAGGACAGCUACCAUCCACAGAAUAGCUUUGGUGCUGCAUCUGAUGACGAUGUUCAAGCCGGCCUAGUGAUCAUGACUCCCACUGAUUCUGACCACCACCAAGAGGACCAUCAUCAGGAUUUGGACCCUCGACACCCUAAUAUUAAAGGCUUGGAGGAUAGCUUCGGUGGCCCUCAAAAGGGAUCUAAUAUGGGUAACAUUCUCAAGGGUAUAAGUGGAGACUCAAGUUUAAAGGGUCAAUUUUCUCCUCAAGAGCUUCAGGAAUUUCAGCUUCCAUCCACCAAAUCACCUCCUCCAUUUACAGCACUAAAUCAUCAAAACUUUCUGAGCGACAACAAAAAUCUGGAAUAUUACCCCAUUCCAGACAAUCAGAAUGAUGGCUACCAUGUCGAAAUACCAAAAAUAGCUCCUCUUCCAAUAUCAGAAUCGAAUCCAAGCAACAGUCUACAUAUCGAUUACCCUCCGAACAACUUCGUUCAGAAUGUUGAUCAGCUCCACGUUUCUGGCCAUACCAAUAUAUUUGAGCCGAUGAAAUUCCAGAAUGAAAAUCACCCGUUUUUUAAAAAUGGAAUUCAUGGUCUCGAAUUACCCAAAUUGACAACGCUUGAUCAGCACAAUUUGCAGGAACAAUUUUCAAGUUCACAAGUUGCUGGAAUUAAAGGGUCUCUUCUUUCUGGAUCUCCAAUCAGAUUUGGCCAAGAGCCAUUGAAGAUACCGAUUCUGAAUGAAUUACCUAAGGAACAUCGACAGCAUUUCAAACAAAUUGGAAAUGGACCUUUUCAUCUUAAGACGUUUGAACCGUUUAAUACGAAACAAUUUGGUGAUGCUAUUUUUGGCGGGAAAAUAAUUCAUCAAGGGUUUGAAAUUCAACCGUCUGUGGGAUACAGUUUGAAGGAUUCUGGUCUUCAUAGGACAUAGAAUUUGAGACUGAGAUUUGAGACUAAGGUAACAUUCGACUUUGACGUUGACAUUUGGAGGCAAAAGAAUUAUUUUUGAGUUGUCUACGCUUACGCUUUGUACCCAAUCCGACCAAAUUAUCGGAUAGGACAGAGGUACCUUCCAUCAGAGAAGAUAAUGCAAAGAAUUUUUAAACCCAGAGAAUUGGUUUCUCCAAAUUGAAAUAGCUUUGCAGAUUCAGCAGUUGGAUCCUCUUUUCAUGAUGAAAAGUUAAUAUUAAUCCAGAAUUGUAUGCACCAAAUAGCGUGAUGUCUCCUUGGACUCAGUAUAAGUUUAAUUUAUUUUUAUAUGUUUCAAAAAUGUUUUAUACUAUUUUGUAUGGUAAUUUUUAGAUAAUUAUUUUAUUUAGUUAUAAGAAUCGUUACUUGUUUUCCCCCGUAAGGAUUUAUUUAUUUUUGAUUUAGCUUUUUGAGUUGUACAGAGAAACAUGUUACAAAACAUAUUUGUUCAUCGCUCAUUGCGAAAGGACAGUGACAAAAGGGUACUUAAUUACCUUUGAGGCUAAUUACAUUUGCGAUUUAAUUAAAUUUCCUUUCUUUCUUAAGGGCAGAUGAUGAUUCCGCCCCAGCUACCUGCGAACGCUUCCCCCACUACACGGCCUCCCCUCGCUGAACCGAAAUGUUGCCGCCGAGCCUGGUCAGCGGGAAUCCUUUCUACCUAUUAAAGACUGUAAAGCUGAAUAUUUGACUUUAAAAGUUAAAAAAAAAGGAUAAACAAAAAUUACUAACAAAAAAAAAACAAAGUAAUUUUCAUUAAAAACUCAGAAAAUUUGAGUCAAUUAUUGACUUUUAAAGAAGUCGGGUAAGUUUAAGAUAUACUUAGAAGCUUUAAGAAGAUUCAAAAUAAUUCGAAACCUAAAAAGAUUUCAAAACAUUUAAAACAAAACGUAAAUUUUUGAAGAUUUGAGUACAAAUUUUAG
Belonocnema kinseyi is the source of this 2972-nucleotide RNA transcript. RefSeq lists it as uncharacterized. Lineage: Eukaryota; Metazoa; Arthropoda; Insecta; Hymenoptera; Cynipidae. The transcript is spliced from 6 exons. The record is from RefSeq and is a predicted model, not a curated record.